This 1226-nucleotide long non-coding RNA is filed under the name Pan paniscus (pygmy chimpanzee). Its description in RNAcentral is "lncRNA (ENSPPAG00000045535.1)". The record is from RNAcentral. Lineage: Eukaryota; Metazoa; Chordata; Mammalia; Primates; Hominidae.
UGUGAAAUGGCUAGAUUCAAAAUUCGGCAUUUUCAUGUUGAGAACCUUCAGGAGUGACACAUUUAUGGGUAUGUGAAUAAGGUGUGAGAAGGGCAAGUUGAGCUAGACUCUGAAGAGACCCAAUUGUCAAGACAAAACUUUUUGCUCAGCUAUGUUAUUCAAGGAAGUGCUGCCUGCCAUAGAUUCAAUUUUGAGCAGAGGUUAAGAUGGUUAAUAUGGAAACUCAGAAAUCUUCCUUGAAUGUCCAUAUUCUAAGAUUGACACGUGGCUAUUCCUAGGCACUGCCAGAUGGAAAAGGAGAGAGAAGAGGGUUACUACAAACACGUGCUCUACUUCUGCUGAAAUUGGCUGAUGUCUGCAUUUGGCUGGAAGCAGAGAAUCUGGUGAAAGGGUGUGAUCAGGAAAGGGUUACUUCACCCCUGGGGUCUCGACUCAGAAUAGAGAUUGAGAAUCACAGAUCUAGUUGAACCAUCCAACUUUCGAACAUGAAUAAACUGAGGACCCAGAGGUGAAGUGAUUUUUCCACAGUCCCACGACAGAUAUGGCCAAACCAGGGAUCCUUUUGCAUUGUGGUUUUGGGAAUCACCUGUAAACAGUAAGAACAAGGUAGCAAGGCUGGGGCUCAGCUGUAGACAAUAAAGCCUUUGCCUGAGGGUUGCAGGAAUGAGAGGCCUCUCUGAGAGGCCCCAAGUCGAUUUUGCCCUUCUCCAGAGACAGAGAGCUGGUCUACCUGAGGCUGACAUGGGGAGGAAAGGCAAAGAGAAGGAUUGCCUGAAUGUCAAUGGUGAUUUUGCACAUUUUACAGUCACUUUUAUAAAAAGGUAAGUGGAAAAAAAUUCUAUUUUCCAUUUCCUGCCAGGUUUUAUAUUUUACCCUUCACUUGCAAAAAAUGUCCAAAUCCAACGCUUACACUUUAGAGGUGUAAUUUGGUUCUAAUUUUAUUUUUAAAAAUUUGCAGAUAGAGUUAGUGGCUCACUGUAUCAUUUUAUUUUUUCUAAAGCAGUAUAAUUUCUGGAGUGCAAAUGAGAAAGAUUCGAGAGGCCUGGUAUAAGAUAUAAAUUUAGUUAAAAUUGUUCCUCUAGAUUGUAAAUUAUACAUUGUGAUCCUGAUAUUCUAGUAAUAUUAACACAACUGAUGCAUAAUCUUAAAGUUUAUGUGCCUCUACCCUUUCAUUUUUAAACCUUCUGGAGGAUUAACAUGCUGUUCAAUAGUCUACAGACCUGCAG